GACGAACGCUGGCGGCGUGCCUAAUACAUGCAAGUUGAGCGCUCAAGGUUGGUACUUGUACCAACGGGAUGAGCAGCGGACGGGUGAGUAACGCGUGGAUAAUCUGCCUUUGAGCGGGGGACAACAUCUGGAAACGAAUGCUAAUACCGCAUAAAAACUUUAACCACAUGGUUUAAGUUUGAAAGAUGCAAUUGCUUCACUCAAAGGUGAUCCCCCGUUGUAUUAGCUUGUUUGUUAAGUAAAGGCUCACCCAAGCGAUGAUAAAUAGGCCACCUGAGAGGGUGAGCGGCCACACUGGGACUGAGACCCGGCCCCAGAUCCUACGGGAGGCAGCCGUAGGGAAGCUUCGGCAAUAGACGAAAGUCUUACCGAGCAACGCCGCGUGAGGGAAGAAGGUUUUCGGAUCGUAAAACUAGGGUGGUAGAGAAGAAAGUUGGUGAGAGUUAAAAGCGCAUGAAGUGACGGUAACUACCCAGAAAGGCACGGCUAACUACGUG
This 497-nucleotide ribosomal RNA is filed under the name uncultured bacterium. RNAcentral describes it as "partial 16S ribosomal RNA". It matches the Rfam family "Bacterial small subunit ribosomal RNA", at positions 28 to 507 of the family's 1533-position model. The record is from RNAcentral.